GCAAGGAACAAGUAGCCCGCUCCAGCGACUAUCUCGAUGGCCAACUAAGUUUUCGUGAGCGACUGAUGGUGCGCCAUCAUCUGAUGUUCUGCCCCAAUUGUCGGCGGUUCAUUCGGCAAAUGCGCUUGAUGCAGGCAACGUUGCGUAUUUUGCCGCAAAAGGCUGUGCCGGAUAUCGAUGCGCUCGCCGAACGCCUCGCUGCGGAGCGUCGCAAGGACAUUCCGUAGAUU
RNAcentral lists this unclassified non-coding RNA (230 nucleotides) under Pseudomonas arsenicoxydans. RNAcentral describes it as "Pseudomonas sRNA P17". It matches the Rfam family "Pseudomonas sRNA P17", at positions 1 to 225 of the family's 282-position model. Lineage: Bacteria; Pseudomonadati; Pseudomonadota; Gammaproteobacteria; Pseudomonadales; Pseudomonadaceae. The record is from RNAcentral.